AUCCAGCUGACGAGUCCCAAAUAGGACGAAACGCUAGCCACUAUCCAUCAU
Non-coding RNA from Schistosoma haematobium, 51 nucleotides. NCBI's taxonomy places the organism in Eukaryota, Metazoa, Platyhelminthes, Trematoda, Strigeidida, Schistosomatidae. The record is from Rfam.